GCACACUGGUAAAGCUCUCAGCUGCUAACUGAGAGGGUGGUGGUUCGAGUCCACC
RNAcentral lists this transfer RNA (55 nucleotides) under Loxodonta africana (African savanna elephant). It matches the Rfam family "tRNA", at positions 10 to 63 of the family's 71-position model. Rfam says of the family: Transfer RNA (tRNA) molecules are approximately 80 nucleotides in length. Their secondary structure includes four short double-helical elements and three loops (D, anti-codon, and T loops). Further hydrogen bonds mediate the characteristic L-shaped molecular structure. tRNAs have two regions of fundamental functional importance: the anti-codon, which is responsible for specific mRNA codon recognition, and the 3' end, to which the tRNAs corresponding amino acid is attached (by aminoacyl-tRNA synthetases). tRNAs cope with the degeneracy of the genetic code in two manners: having more than one tRNA (with a specific anti-codon) for a particular amino acid; and 'wobble' base-pairing, i.e. permitting non-standard base-pairing at the 3rd anti-codon position. Lineage: Eukaryota; Metazoa; Chordata; Mammalia; Proboscidea; Elephantidae. The record is from Rfam by way of RNAcentral.